UGGUGGUGGUGGUGUGAGCACUAUGGAAUUGGAGGUCCCACCUGUGAAACAGAAAGAAGGGUUAGUGAUGGAAGAAGCUGUGGAUCUUCAAGGGAAAGAGGAGAAAGCUAUCCCUGAUGACAACACUGCCUUGAAUCAGUCCUUUACAUCCCCACUUUCAGUUCAGGACAUAGCAGUAACACCUCAACCUUCUGUAAGAGCUUAUUUUCCUUUUAAUUAUGCCCUUUCCUUUUUUAUUCUAUCUUCUUAAAGUCUAUGUCAUAUGUGGGGAGGGAAUGAAAAGAAGAAAAAACCAGUAGUUCCCAUAUACCAUUUUCAUUCUACAAUAUUCUUAGGCCAAAUUUUGUACUUUCCCCCCUGCACAAGAAAUAAAUGAUUAUGACAGAUUUUACUUAAAAUAAAUUGUUGUUAUUGUUGUUUUCCAAGGGGAGAAAAAGACUGGAAAGGUUAAAUUAUUUUCUCAUGUUUUAUUACUAAUUUACUAUGUUGGGUUUUCAGUAGCAACUUGUUAGUUAGGUAGCUAGAUCAUCCUAAUUUCUAAAAUCAUUGAACCUGACAUCCGAGUAUUAUGAGUUUAAAUAAAUAUUGAUGACUCAAUGUUUUUCUUUUUUCUACUAGUUCAAAGAUGAAGAAGGUCUCAAUGUCUCCCAAAAUUGGCCCAAUAUAGACCCUGUGAAUGAAUCUUAUGUUCCAUCAGGGAAACAAAAGCAGAAGAGGAAGUACGGCAUCUUAGAUAGAACUGAAGCUGGCUUACUACAAGCUAGAGCUGCAAUCAGAGAAGCAAGAAAUGGGAACCAAACACAAGAUAUGGACUAUGUUCCUGUUGGACCAAUGUAUUAUAAAGCUAAUGCAUUUCACAGGUAACAAAUAAUGCAACACUGCUUUAUUUUCUCAUUACACAUCUUGCUAGUAUCUAAUAUAGUAGUACCCCUGUUCAAUUUUGUGUUGAGACUUCACAAUUGGCAAUAAUCAAGUUCUGGAAGAUUGUAACUUCUUACCAAUUAAUGAGUGAAUAGGCUCACCAAUUUUUUCAACAUGAGAAGCACCAUAAGUAAAACAUAUUUUAGUAAUUUUACUAACACACAGAACCUUGAACUUUUGACAGGAGUUACUUAGAAAUGGAGAAACAGUUGAAGGUAUAUGUCUACGAGGAAGGGGAACCUCCAUUUUUUCAUAAUGGACCUUGCAGAGGUGUAUAUUCAUCAGAGGGAAAUUUUAUCCAUGCUAUGCAGAUGAAUGAACAUUUCAGAACAAGAGAUCCGGAGAAAGCACACGUAUUUUUCCUUCCUUUUAGCGUAACAAAUAUGAUUCGAUAUGUCUAUGUACCUGACUCUCAUGAUCGUAGCCCCAUACAAAAAAUUGUGAAGGACUAUAUCAAUGUCAUUGCUCUAAGACACCCCUUUUGGAAUAGAAGCCUAGGAGCUGAUCAUUUCAUGCUUUCUUGCCAUGAUUGGGUAAGUAUAUCAUUCUUACUUCUUCUUGAUUUAGUAGGCACAAAUACUUACUAAGGUAGUAAUUAAUAUUGUAAGAAAUUGUCUUUAUGAUUCUUCAAUUUCAGGGUCCAAUGGCUUCAAGGUCCGUUCCUAACUUGUACAAGAAAUCGAUUCGCGUGCUAUGCAAUGCUAACACAUCUGAAGGAUUCAAGCCUGGAACAGAUGUUUCUUUUCCAGAAAUGAAUCUUCGAACCGGUUCAAUCGCCGGUUUGGUAGGUGGGCCAUCUGCAUCUAAGCGUUCAGUUUUGGCUUUCUUUGCUGGGAGGCUUCAUGGGCCUAUUAGGCCACCUCUUCUUGAUCAUUGGGAAAACAAAGAUGAUGAUAUCCAGGUUUACAGGUCCCUUCCAAAGGGUGUAACCUACUAUGACAUGCUGAGGAAGAGCAAGUUUUGCCUUUGCCCAAGUGGGUAUGAGGUUGCAAGCCCCAGGGUGGUGGAGGCUAUAUACACAGGUUGUGUCCCAGUGCUCAUGUCAGAUUCUUAUGUUCCUCCAUUCAGUGAUGUGUUGAAUUGGAAAUCAUUCUCCCUUGAGGUUUCAGUGAAAGACAUUCCUAGAUUGAAGGAAAUUCUGUUGAGUGUUACUCCAAGACAGUAUAUAAGAAUGCAGAGAAGAGUGAGACAGAUUAGGAGACACUUUGAGUUAAAUUUUCCUCCCAAGCGAUUUGAUGUGUUUCAUAUGAUCCUUCAUUCUGUGUGGCUAAGGAGAUUGAACUUCAGAGUCCAUGAUGAUGAAUAACAUGUAUUAUGACUACUAUUGACUUAAAAUAAGUUUGUUCAACUUAAUAAGAGAGUGAUCUCUUAUAAAGAGAGACUUUUCCUUCCUUAACCAUCUUCUUAGAGUUAUGCAAUAAAACAGAAAAACAUUCCAUAUUUCUGUUCCAACAGUAGCCUUACACAUAGGCCAUAGCCAAAGUUUUAUAGUACAUGUCUGGUAUUAAAUGGCUACAUGAAAAGCAAAACCUUUGGACCCAAACCAAUUAAUAUAUGCCUAAAACGGUGAAGUUUGUUGCUGAAAUAUGUAAGCAUUUAAGAAAAGGAAAAUCCUGCAUGUCUUCACCUCUUACUACCGCUCAUCAAUAUAAAUAGCUUCAACCCUGUUCUAAAGGAAUUUACAAAGCAUUAAAAUACCAAUUUCGCCCCUCCUUGGAUUGUACUAAUGCACAUUCAUAGAACGACAACUAAUCAUAGAAGUAAGAACUGGUCAAUAGCUUCGAGCUGGAAGUAAUUGUGUUAUUCCAGCACCACAAAAAUAAAUAAUUGUUAUUAUUAACUAAAUCUGUAAUCACAAUACACCACGACGGGUAGCUAGUUGCCAAUACAAGACUAAUUAAGGGUGUGGCAAAAGUUCUUGGGUAAUUGGGUUCAAUUAUACACAAUACAUUCAGUGGAAGGAAAAACAAUCUUCAUUAAAUGAUAAUUUUAAUAAUCAUGCUGAACAUGUAAUUACCCAUGGUCUUAUUUCGAAUAAUUUAUUUGAGCUUAAUGUUUAUAUUAGUCUUCAAGAGAUUUUGCAUAAAUAUCUUAUAUUCUAGGCUUAAAUAUGUUUUUGGUCCCUCUAAAAUUAGGGUCUUUUGGUUUAGGCUCCUCUAAAUAUUUUCUUUUCGUAUACACCCUUAUUUUGAAAAUAAUAUGGAGGGAUAAGCCCCUGCCGUUACCUUUGCCUAACGGACGCAGACGUGCAUAUUUUAGGGACCUAAACCAAGGAACCAUAAUUUUAGAGGGACUUAAACCAAACAACCAUGAUUUUAAAGGACCUAAAACUCAAUUUUUACCAUGUCUUAGGUCUCUAAAAUCAAGAUUCUUUGAUUUAGGUCCCUCCAAACGAUGUACGUUGACGGCAGAGGUUGAAACCUCAGUAUUAUUUUGCACUUAGGGGUGUAUACCAAAAAACCUAUUUAGAAGGGCCUAAACCAAAAAACUCUAAUUUUAGAGGGACCAAAAACAUAUUUAAGCUUAUAUUCUAUUUACAAAAUGUUUUGAACUUAUUUUCAUUGGCCGGUGAAUAAGAAUGUAUGUUUAUCUACAACCUAUUUUUAGUUAUUUAAAAAUUUUCUAAAAUUAGUUUUUUUUGGUACAACUAAAGCUAAUGAAUAGACACUUGUGCAUGUGAUAACGUCUAUUGUACGUUUUUUAUGUUAACGUAGAAUUUUGUCAAUUUAUGUAUAUUUCAUAAGAAGAGCAACUGGCCCUGCACAAUUGCAAAAUUAAUUUUAGUCCCAAAAUGACCCGUCUUAAACAAGAGGAGGUCCCAAACGACACAUGCGAACGAAUAAAAAACUUGUUCGCUAGAAUAUGAUCUGACUAAAAUACGGGACCAUUUAUUAAUUAGAUGAAAGUGAUUGGACAACACAGUGGAUGGAGUCGUUGAAAAUAAAACAAGAAUGGAAGGGUAAAAAACGAAAAUACAGAAAGGUAAAUGCAAAUACAAAGAUUUUCUUUUUACAAAAUGGAAUAGAAAGAGUUAAAAGAAAACACAUUCAAAUUAUCGGAUAGAGCGUCACUGACAUGCUAAGUAGAUUAGCAAAAGCUCACUCAUCAUGGAUAUAUAUCACGAGAUAUCUAUGAGGAGUUUUGUCCACCAAAUAAAAUUUUAUUACACGCAGAUAAUUCAAACCCUUGAGUGUGACUGUACUAGAAGAUGAGAGUUAAACCGAAACCAGGAAGAUUGAGUUACUUGCAUGCAAAUUAAAUAUACGGAUUUUGACAGCAAGGUGGAGUGGACUCAUUUAUUACCAACAUUUCUCCUUCCUCUUAUUCCUUCUACUUAGUUGUACGUGCCAACAAUAACAAACCUCUCUGAUUUCUACUCCUCUGUUUUUCUCUCUGUCUUUUAUUUCUCUAUAAAACAAAACAGUGCUAUGUUUGGUUUCUGCCCCCACAUAUAGAUAGAGAGAAAAUAUUUACUCACGUGUUUUGGAAUUCUGAACUUGUGGGGUUCAAGAUUAACAAGCUACUCCUCUCAUGGGUGGUGAAGGUUGGAAUCUUUGUAGUAGGGGUACUUCAAGUUCAAGUUCAGGGAUAUUUUCAUCCAUGAAGCUCUUGCUUUCAUGUUGCCUCUUGUACUUGUUGCUGCACUAAUUUGUGUAAAGGGUCCUAACCCCUCAAGUUGGUUUCUAGUUACUACCAACCCACCUCUCUUAUUAAACUCUGUUAUUCCCUCUGCUUCAAAAAAUGGUAGUGGUGGUGGUGUGAGCACUAUGGAAUUGGAGGUCCCACCUGUGAAACAGAAAGAAGGGUUAGUGAUGGAAGGAGCUGUGGAUCUUAUAGGGGAAAAGAAGAAAGCUAUCCCUGAUGAUAACACUGCCUUCAAUCAGUCCUUUACUUCCCAAGUUUCAGUUCAGGAUCAGGACAUAGCAGGAACACCUCCUGAACCACCUGCUGUAAGAGCUUACUUUUCUUUUAAUUAUGUACUUUAAUUAUGUCCUUUCUUUUUGGAUUGUAUCUUCUUAAAGUCUAUGUCACAUGUGG
RNAcentral lists this long non-coding RNA (4959 nucleotides) under Lotus japonicus. RNAcentral's name for it is "long non-coding RNA (LJAP_LNC001263)". Lineage: Eukaryota; Viridiplantae; Streptophyta; Magnoliopsida; Fabales; Fabaceae. The record is from RNAcentral.